GAUGAACGCUGGCGGCGUGCCUAAUACAUGCAAGUCGAGCGAACAGACGAGGAGCUUGCUCCUCUGACGUUAGCGGCGGACGGGUGAGUAACACGUGGAUAACCUACCUAUAAGACUGGGAUAACUUCGGGAAACCGGAGCUAAUACCGGAUAAUAUAUUGAACCGCAUGGUUCAAUAGUGAAAGACGGUUUUGCUGUCACUUAUAGAUGGAUCCGCGCCGCAUUAGCUAGUUGGUAAGGUAACGGCUUACCAAGGCGACGAUGCGUAGCUGACCUGAGAGAGUGAUCGGCCACACUGGAACUGAGACACGGUCCAGACUCCUACGGGAGGCAGCAGUAGGGAAUCUUCCGCAAUGGGCGAAAGCCUGACGGAGCAACGCCGCGUGAGUGAUGAAGGUCUUCGGAUCGUAAAACUCUGUUAUUAGGGAAGAACAAAUGUGUAAGUAACUAUGCACGUCUUGACGGUACCUAAUCAGAAAGCCACGGCUAACUACGUG
This 497-nucleotide ribosomal RNA is filed under the name uncultured bacterium. Its description in RNAcentral is "partial 16S ribosomal RNA". It matches the Rfam family "Bacterial small subunit ribosomal RNA", at positions 28 to 507 of the family's 1533-position model. The record is from RNAcentral.